This 467-nucleotide ribosomal RNA is filed under the name uncultured bacterium. Its description in RNAcentral is "bacterial SSU rRNA". It matches the Rfam family "Bacterial small subunit ribosomal RNA", at positions 355 to 825 of the family's 1533-position model. The record is from RNAcentral.
UGGGGAAUAUUGGACAAUGGGCGCAAGCCUGAUCCAGCCAUGCCGCGUGCAGGAUGACGGUCCUAUGGAUUGUAAACUGCUUUUGUACAGGAAGAAACAGUUCUACGUGUAGAACCUUGACGGUACUGUAAGAAUAAGGAUCGGCUAACUCCGUGCCAGCAGCCGCGGUAAUACGGAGGAUCCAAGCGUUAUCCGGAAUCAUUGGGUUUAAAGGGUCCGUAGGCGGUUAGAUAAGUCAGUGGUGAAAGCCCAUCGCUCAACGGUGGAACGGCCAUUGAUACUGUCUGACUUGAAUUAUUAGGAAGUAACUAGAAUAUGUAGUGUAGCGGUGAAAUGCUUAGAGAUUACAUGGAAUACCAAUUGCGAAGGCAGGUUACUACUAAUGGAUUGACGCUGAUGGACGAAAGCGUGGGUAGCGAACAGGAUUAGAUACCCCUGUAGUCCCUGAGCGGGCUGGCAAGGCGCAU